RNAcentral lists this unclassified non-coding RNA (157 nucleotides) under soil metagenome. RNAcentral describes it as "partial internal transcribed spacer 1". The record is from RNAcentral.
CAAGAAACGAGGCCGCGUGCGCUCGCCCGCCCGGCCCCGCUCCUUACCUUGCCUACCGCACCGUUUGUUGCUUCCUGGCGGCGGACUGCCCGCCGCCAGGGACGUUGAUACAACCCUGUAUAGAAGCAUUGAAGCUCUGAGAAAACGCGAAAUCGUA